RNAcentral lists this non-coding RNA (160 nucleotides) under Pseudomonas oryzihabitans. Its description in RNAcentral is "FMN sequence". It matches the Rfam family "FMN riboswitch aptamer (RFN element)". Rfam says of the family: The RFN element is a highly conserved domain that is found frequently in the 5'-untranslated regions of prokaryotic mRNAs that encode for flavin mononucleotide (FMN) biosynthesis and transport proteins. This element is a metabolite-dependent riboswitch that directly binds FMN in the absence of proteins. In Bacillus subtilis, the riboswitch most likely controls gene expression by causing premature transcription termination within the 5' untranslated region of the ribDEAHT operon and precluding access to the ribosome-binding site of ypaA mRNA. Lineage: Bacteria; Pseudomonadati; Pseudomonadota; Gammaproteobacteria; Pseudomonadales; Pseudomonadaceae. The record is from Rfam by way of RNAcentral.
GCGAGUUCUCAGGGCGGGGUGUAAUUCCCCACCGGCGGUAAUGCCCGAUCGACUCGGGACGAGCCCGCGAGCGCUCCCUUGCCCUCUGCGGCGGGGGAGGUCAGCAGACCUGGUUGGAUUCCGGGGCCGACGGUCAUAGUCCGGAUGAGAGAGAACGGGA